Non-coding RNA from Pelobates cultripes (western spadefoot toad), 806 nucleotides. The record is from the annotation of a GenBank genome assembly. NCBI's taxonomy places the organism in Eukaryota, Metazoa, Chordata, Amphibia, Anura, Pelobatidae.
GGAUCAAAGGUCCAUGUAAUGUACCAUUUCUUAUGGAUGUCAUCAUACAUGCCCAAUGAAUUCAUGCCUCUUUCAUAAUUUUCCAGAUGUUCAGAUAUGUUUUCUGAACUUCUAGAAAAUUGUGGGACUGUCUCUUUGAGGAAUUUAAUAACCCUAGGCGUUUCAUAGAAAGGCGUAGUUGAUUUAUGACCGUUUCUAUCUCCCCUGUUAGGUAAACGUCUAUGCGAUCUGGCUGCUGAAGAGGAAUUAGAUCGAUAUAACAGUGCAGAUGGCAUAGCAGUCACAUGGCCUUCAGAGUGGACAGUGCAAUCACUUUCACUCCCAUCACUCUGAGCUUCUCGUUCACUGUCACAAUUCUGAUCGGCAUCAGAGUUCUGGCAGUGUACAAAACCAUGUCUGUUUUCACUCCUAUCACCCUGAACCGGACUCCCUUUCUCAAGCUUGGCCAAGACAGUCUUUUCAAACUGUUCUACCCAAGAUUGCCAGUGUUUAGCAAUAUCAUGAGGUGAGGAAUCCUGUUCCACAGGUGUUUUCUCAGAAUUACUCACAUCUUUUCUUUCAGACUGUUUUAGGAAAACCUGGUCUGGUGUGGGAAAAUCCUAAUAAGGAGGGGAUUUACAGGUAGCCCUUUCUUGCAUUUUUGUGCAAUUUUUUUUGGCAUUCAAUGAUGACGACUAACCUCACUGUCUGAUUUUUGACUCUCCUUUUCGUAUUCUUCCAAUUGUUUUUUAAAGGACCACUCUAGGUACCCAGACCACUUCAGCUUAAUGAAGUGGUCUGGGUGCCAGGUCCCUCUAGGAUUAACC